Molecule: long non-coding RNA, 354 nt
Filed under: Bos taurus (domestic cattle)
Lineage: Eukaryota; Metazoa; Chordata; Mammalia; Artiodactyla; Bovidae
Description: long non-coding RNA NONBTAT023965
Source: RNAcentral
AAAGAUGGUGUUAGUACAUUUUCAAUAAAAGGUUAGUCAUCUUGUAGCUAAAAGCUAUUGAAAAAAAUAUCUAUUCAUUAAAUAAUUGGAUGAAAUAUUUGCUUUUAAAAACAUGUUGACCAAGUUAGAAACUGUUGCAUAAGUUGUGUGAACAUUCAUGUUUUUACAUUUAUUUGCUAAUUUAUAAGAAACAAUGUGUGCUUUGUUUUUUAUUAUAAAAUAUUACAAUGUGUGCUUUUUUUCAUUACAAAAACAAUAUAAUGCAUUUGUUUCUAAAAGAAUGUAAUAUAAUUGGAUAUUACAAGUUAUUUCCAGAAAGGAAAGAAUAUGAUGAAAAUCAUCAUAAUUAUCUAU